RNAcentral lists this ribosomal RNA (173 nucleotides) under Brachoria n. sp. Bad. RNAcentral's name for it is "partial small subunit ribosomal RNA gene". Lineage: Eukaryota; Metazoa; Arthropoda; Diplopoda; Polydesmida; Xystodesmidae. The record is from RNAcentral.
GGAGUACGGAUGAGAAUCAGGAUUGAUUUUUUGAAGGUGGAUUUGUAAGUAAUUAUUUUUAUAGUAUUGAUAAAUGAAGGGUGGAAUAACAUGUGUACAUAUUGCCCGUCGCUCUCGUUGUUUUUGAGAUAAGUCGUAACAUAGUUGAUGAACUGGAAAGUGUAUCUUUUUGG